This 541-nucleotide ribosomal RNA is filed under the name fungal sp. E15118I. RNAcentral's name for it is "eukaryotic LSU rRNA". The stretch from base 187 to 340 matches the Rfam family "5.8S ribosomal RNA". The record is from RNAcentral. Lineage: Eukaryota; Fungi.
GAGGGAUCAUUGCUGGAACGCGCUUCGGCGCACCCAGAAACCCUUUGUGAACUUAUACCUAUUUGUUGCCUCGGCGUAGGCCGGCCUCUUCACUGAGGCCCCCUGGAAACAGGGAGCAGCCCGCCGGCGGCCAACUAAACUCUUGUUUCUAUAGUGAAUCUCUGAGUAAAAACAUAAAUGAAUCAAAACUUUCAACAACGGAUCUCUUGGUUCUGGCAUCGAUGAAGAACGCAGCGAAAUGCGAUAAGUAAUGUGAAUUGCAGAAUUCAGUGAAUCAUCGAAUCUUUGAACGCACAUUGCGCCCUCUGGUAUUCCGGAGGGCAUGCCUGUUCGAGCGUCAUUUCAACCCUCAAGCCUGGCUUGGUGAUGGGGCACUGCCUUCUAACGAGGGCAGGCCCUGAAAUCUAGUGGCGAGCUCGCUAGGACCCCGAGCGUAGUAGUUAUAUCUCGUUCUGGAAGGCCCUGGCGGUGCCCUGCCGUUAAACCCCCAACUUCUGAAAAUUUGACCUCGGAUCAGGUAGGAAUACCCGCUGAACUUAAG